RNAcentral lists this transfer RNA (72 nucleotides) under Camelus bactrianus (Bactrian camel). It matches the Rfam family "tRNA". From Rfam's summary of the family: Transfer RNA (tRNA) molecules are approximately 80 nucleotides in length. Their secondary structure includes four short double-helical elements and three loops (D, anti-codon, and T loops). The record is from Rfam by way of RNAcentral. Lineage: Eukaryota; Metazoa; Chordata; Mammalia; Artiodactyla; Camelidae. RNAcentral also lists the same sequence under 2 other names.
GAGGGUAUAGCUCAGUGGUAGGGUGCGGGUCUCGCAUGCACAGGGUCCUGGGUUCAAUCCCCAGUACCUCCA